AUACGUAGGGGGCGAGCGUUGUCCGGAAUUACUGGGCGUAAAGGGCGUGUAGGCGGCUGAUUAAGUCAGAUGUGAAAGGCCCCGGCUUAACCGGGGUAUUGCAUUUGAAACUGGUUAGCUUGAGUGCAGGAGAGGAAAGUGGAAUUCCUAGUGUAGCGGUGAAAUGCGUAGAUAUUAGGAGGAACACCAGUGGCGAAGGCGACUUUCUGGACUGCAACUGACGCUGAGGCGCGAAAGCGUGGGUAGCGAACAGGAUUAGAUACCCUGGUGGUCCACGCUGUAAACGAUGGAUACUAGGUGUAGGAGGUAUCGACUCCUUCUGUGCCGGAGUAAACGCAAUAAGUAUCCCGCCUGGGGAGUACGGCCGCAAGGUUGAA
This 377-nucleotide ribosomal RNA is filed under the name uncultured bacterium. RNAcentral's name for it is "bacterial SSU rRNA". It matches the Rfam family "Bacterial small subunit ribosomal RNA", at positions 523 to 898 of the family's 1533-position model. The record is from RNAcentral.